This is a long non-coding RNA of Oryzias melastigma (Indian medaka), 885 nucleotides long. RefSeq lists it as uncharacterized. The record is from RefSeq and is a predicted model, not a curated record. Lineage: Eukaryota; Metazoa; Chordata; Actinopteri; Beloniformes; Adrianichthyidae. The transcript has 4 exons.
GUUUCCAGACUCGCUAACAGCCAUUUAAUCUCCUGUUCUUACACUUGCUAGCAACUCUAAGCUAACAUUUAGCCUCUUAGCAUAAUUACUUCAUCUUUCUAUACAUUACAAGCUGCACCGAGCUCCCUGUUAUUUACACCGUGUUGCUAUGAGACCGUCGGGCCGGCUCAAAUCUGCCACCUAUGGUUGAUCCAAACAAGGACGAAGCCUCAAAUCUGCAAUCGGGGAUGCGGAUGUGACGUCACUCGUAUCUAUGAGCUGUCUAGUGCCCUGCUGAGCUGUGAUUGGUUUGGAAGCACUCGGGCGACUGGGAAAGCGGAAAUGAGGAGGAUGUCUGACCGUCCGGUGAUGAGCAGAAACAGGGUGAGGAUCACCAAAAGGGAGAAGCCGCCUACAGAUGCUGUGACGACCACCAGGACCUGACCCUGAUCAGCGACCUCAGGAUCUGAAGAAUGUGAGAUGAAUACAUUAAAAAAACGUGUUUGGAGUUAGCGGUGCUGAGGAAGAUGCUGGUCGCAGCAGAUUUGGCUGAGUUGUGCUUGUGAAGCUGUGCUGUGAGGUCCGGCCAAAAGAGGAAACCAGACUUCAUCUACCAGCCAGGCGACUGGGCAAACGCUACCUUCCCAAGGUUUCCAGAGGGGCUUAUUAGAAUGUGUUUGUCUGUUGUGGUCCUGGAGAGUUGUCAUGCAUUUAUGUUAAUUAUAUUUGUGGCUUAUUUUUCUAACUUAGAUUGUUAAGUCUUAUCUGAUUAGUUUUUGCUAUUUCCUUUGUAAAGUAUUUUGAUCUUAUAUGCACAAGUUAGUUUUGUAUGUCAGUUAUUCUCUUCAGUUGGUAAAAUUAAAGUUUAUGAUAUAAAAUAUUGCAUGUUUUACUUUUUGUCUUGAG